This 1259-nucleotide long non-coding RNA is filed under the name Citrus x clementina. RNAcentral's name for it is "Citrus clementina (C. clementina) long non-coding RNA (CCLE_LNC006605)". The record is from RNAcentral. Lineage: Eukaryota; Viridiplantae; Streptophyta; Magnoliopsida; Sapindales; Rutaceae.
UUUAAAAAAACCAAUAUAAUUAAUAUUUUAAGGAAAAUGAGAAAAAAAAAAACGAAAUCAAUUCCUACUUUUUUCUUCUUCAUUAAUUCUUUGUCCUUUUUUUCUAACUCUUCUAUUUCAUCACUUCUUCAUUAAUUUUGAAAUUAUGUUAUCAAAUAUUAUUCAGAAAUUCUCAACCUCUUUUAGAUAAUACUAAUACAUUGAAAUCUCAAAAUCAUAUAUCUAAUUCCAAAUACCCCAUAUAAAAGCCAUCAUUUUUGCCGAUUGAGACCACCAUUGGUAUUAAAAGAUUUCAGUUGUCGAGUCCAGGCCUAUAUUACGUUGACGCCUGUAACUAACCCUUCAUCAUUGGAGUUGGCAAAAUUUAAUAUAAUCCGAUAACCCAACAUGAACAUAAUGCAAAUAAAUAGAUAUGAGUUAUCAAAUUUGACACAAUUAUUAAAUGGGCUAGGACCAGGUCGAUACAAUUUUUUUUGUUUGUGUUGGACUAGGGUAAAAAACUUUGAUCCAUUUGCCCAUUAAGGACAGAAUUUAUUUUCUAUUCGAAAUCAAUUUAUAGGUUAUUGUUAUUGAAGUUCAAAUAUUAGACAUAAUUCGCUCUUUUUCUUCUUCUUUUUUUUUUUGGGUAGGGUAAGAAGGAUGGACAUAUACAUGGUGUUUCAUUUAUAAGAUUCUAUAUAAAUUUAGAACUUCAAUAGCGUAAAAUAUUGGUGGACAUAUGUAAUUUAUUAUAUCAACACACACACACACACACACACACAUAUAAUGGAGUGCAAAAGUUUAAUGGAAAUCUUGUUAAAUACAUAGACGUUAGUCGGAUUAUUGGGUACCCUAUUUAUUUUUGGUGUCGUGUUGAAUCUCAAUAUUUUGACAUGAUUAGUAAAUGGGCUGCGUUUAGGUCAGUCUAAAUUUGAAAAUUCGCGAACACAACUUGGUGACUCAUUUUGCUAGCUCUAUUCAUUGCUAUUGCGUGUAAUAACAUAAAUCCCAAGGAUAUGCAUGCAACAACCCCAAAUCUCAUACCACUGUGUGUAGCACCCUAAAACCUAAUGUUGUAGCAAACUAGCAACCAGUUGAGCUUUGAACAGCCACAAGUUAUUUUAUCUUCUUCACAAGCCUAAACCUACAACAACCCUUCCUCAGGGGGGGCUCAACCCUUUAAGAGGCCUUAAACAAAUUAUUUUAAUUAGACCUUCUUAAACAAAAUACAUGUACUAAGUUUAUUAAAAAAAUUAAUCAUUUAAGACUAAUUCUUCCAU